This is a non-coding RNA of Ictidomys tridecemlineatus (thirteen-lined ground squirrel), 2690 nucleotides long. The record is from RefSeq and is a predicted model, not a curated record. NCBI's taxonomy places the organism in Eukaryota, Metazoa, Chordata, Mammalia, Rodentia, Sciuridae.
CGGGGCCGCGACCGGCGCGGGGCGGGGCUGCAGCCCGUGCGGGGACAGCCCUGGCAGAGUUCGGUGCUGCUUGGCGCGGCAGUGCGCAGGCCCCACUAGGUAGAAUGUAAUUUCAGAUUGGACAAGCUUUGUGACCAUCAGCAAGAGAUUGAUCCUGUCGACAUUUCAGCUUCUUCAAGUGUAGAACAACAUAUAUCACUGUGGAGGGAGCACAAUGUCUGGAGAAGAGGAGCCACGAAGCUACUACGUGGGCGUGGAUGUUGGAACAGGCAGUGUCCGUGCUGCUCUCGUCGACCAGAGAGGGGUCCUUUUGGCCUUCGCAGACCAACCGAUUAAGAAGUGGGAGCCUCAGUUCAACCACCACGAGCAAUCCUCUGAAGACAUCUGGGCUGCGUGCUGUGUUGUCACAAAGAAAGUUGUACAAGGGAUCGAUUUAAACCAAAUUCGAGGACUUGGGUUCGAUGCCACAUGCUCUCUGGUUGUCUUGGAUAAACAGUUUCGUCCUUUGCCAGUAAACCAUGAAGGGGAUUCCCAUCGAAAUGUCAUCAUGUGGCUGGACCACCGAGCAGUCAGUCAGGUGCACAGGAUCAAUGAGACGAAGCACAGUGUCCUCCAGUAUGUUGGGGGCGUGAUGUCUGUGGAAAUGCAGGCCCCAAAGCUUCUCUGGCUAAAAGAGAACUUGAGAGAGACUUGCUGGGAUAAGGCGGGACAUUUCUUUGAUCUUCCAGACUUCUUAUCAUGGAAGGCAACAGGUGUCACAGCACGGUCUCUCUGCUCCCUGGUAUGCAAAUGGACAUAUUCAGCUGAGAAAGGUUGGGAUGACAGUUUCUGGAAGAUGAUUGGUUUGGAAGACUUUGUUGCUGAUAAUUACAACAAAAUAGGAAACCAGGUGCUACCUCCCGGAACUUCUCUUGGAAGUGGGCUUACACCAGAGGCUGCAAAGGAGCUUGGCCUUCGCCCCGGGGUCCCGGUGGCAGCCUCGCUCAUUGAUGCCCAUGCCGGAGGACUAGGAGUGAUUGGAGCAGAUGUGAGGGGUCAUGGCCUCAUCUGUGAGGGACAGCCAGUGACGUCACGGCUGGCUGUCAUCUGUGGAACAUCUUCUUGUCACAUGGGGAUCAGCAAAGACCCAAUUUUUGUACCAGGUGUCUGGGGGCCUUAUUUCUCAGCCAUGGUCCCUGGGUUCUGGCUGAACGAAGGUGGUCAGAGUGUCACUGGAAAAUUGAUAGACCAUCUGGUGCAAGGCCACCCUGCCUUCCCUGAAUUGCAAGCCAAGGCCACAGCCAGAUGCCAGAGUAUAUAUGCAUAUUUGAAUAGUCACCUGGAUCUGAUUAAGAAGACUGAGCCUGUGGGUUUCCUCACUGUUGAUCUGCAUGUUUGGCCAGAUUUCCAUGGCAACCGGUCUCCCUUAGCAGAUCUGACACUAAAGGGCAUGGUCACUGGAUUGAAACUAUCUCAGGACCUCGAUGAUCUUGCCAUCCUCUACCUGGCCACAGUUCAAGCCAUUGCUUUUGGGACCCGCUUCAUUAUAGAGGCCAUGGAGGCAGCAGGGCACUCCAUCAGUACUCUUUUCUUGUGUGGGGGCCUGAGCAAGAAUCCUCUUUUUGUGCAGAUGCAUGCAGACAUUACUGGCAUGUCUGUGGUCCUGUCGCAAGAGGUGGAGUCUGUUCUUGUGGGAGCUGCUAUUCUGGGUGCCUGUGCCUCCGGGGAUUUCACUUCUGUGCAGGAGGCAAUGGCAAGAAUGAGCAAAGUCGGGAAAGUUGUGUUUCCGAGACUUGAGGAUAAGAAAUAUUAUGACAAGAAAUAUCAAGUAUUCCUGAAGCUGGUUGAACACCAGAAGGAGUAUUCAGCAAUCAUGAGUGGGGACUGAACCGACAGACACCAAUGCCAUUAGGACCUCUAUCCUUGCAUCUUACAUUCAAGACCCUUUAGAUUGUUUAUUAGUUACAAGAGGAAAAAGAAUGUUAACGAUACAGGGAAGAAACAGGACAACAUCUUGAUUGGAUGAUCCAAAUUAACUUCAGAUGGGCAAAUAGACAUCAUGUGCCUCCAGAUGUGAUAGCAUGGAAAUAAAUGGCAUCACUCAGACUGGGAAUGCACAGACUGAAACUAAUCAUAAAGAAAUAUCAGAAAAACCCAUCCUGCAUUCUGUUUUCUUUAAUGGACUAUAUUCUUCAAAAAUGACUAUGUCAUAAAGACAAAAGCUAAGGAAAGUUUCAAGAUUAAAACAAACUAAAUAAACAUGAUGGCUUAAAAGAUUUGGGGGUAGACAAGUGUUUGCAAAACUAUAGUUGUUUCAGUUGAUACAAGAGCAAACACCUAAACACACACAUAUACACAUAUACUCAUUCACACAUUGUUUCAGACCCAAGAAUUAAUGUUGAUUCGGGAGCUAUUACAGUUCAGGUGAGUUUGGGCAUAGAAUAUGCUAAGGCUUCAGCAAAGUAAGACAGCAGACAGAAAAGAAAAAUCCAAUGGAAUGCAAUCAACAAAUAUUCUUUGGUACUUUCUGUGUGCCAGCAUUAUGCUAAGCACAGAGGUACAGGAACAAAUAAAACUUGGUUCCUACAGUCAAGGAGCUCUUGGUCUAGUAAGAUGUAACCAGGUAAAUCAACAACCUUGCAUUUUAGAAGGUGCUGCAAUGAAGGAAACCACUUGCUCUAAGGAGCAGUCAGAAAAGGAGGCAGAAGAAA